This is a long non-coding RNA of Cotesia glomerata, 432 nucleotides long. RefSeq lists it as uncharacterized. The transcript has 3 exons. The record is from RefSeq and is a predicted model, not a curated record. Lineage: Eukaryota; Metazoa; Arthropoda; Insecta; Hymenoptera; Braconidae.
AUACAAUAGAACAGCGCAAAGCAUCGAGAGCACCAGUCUCUCUUGACUGCUCUUGACACUCCAUUGAAUGUACUUUGCAGGGAAUAUUUGUAUCGUGUGCUUACAGAAGAUAAGUUGUCAAAAUCUUAAAAAUGACUGAGGAAAGCAGACGGAAUAAACGCAAGUCGCGAAAACGACCUGAUUGUGGCAGCGUUGUUUCGCUUCCUGAUAGAAUUUUCGAAGGAUUCAAAUACCGUUUUGGCAAAACGCUGAAAGAUGGAACUCGGUAGACGGCUGUAUACAUACCCACAAUUGUUUUUCAUUUCUUAGAAUUGAGAAAAACAAAGAAAAAAUAUAAAAAGAAAUAAUAUACUUAAUCAAGUACACUCUAUAAGUCUAAUUAUUUUUCAUUAUGUCAAUAAACUAUAAAUAUUGUUAUAAAUAAAAAAAUGA